GAUGAAGAACGCAGCGAAAUGCGAUAAGUAAUGUGAAUUGCAGAAUUCAGUGAAUCAUCGAAUCUUUGAACGCACAUUGCGCCCGUCAGUAUUCUGGCGGGCAUGCCUGUUCGAGCGUCAUUACGCCCCUCAAGUCCCCUGUGGACUUGGUGUUGGGGAUCGGCGAGGCUGGAUUUCCAGCACAGCCGUCCCUUAAAUUAAUUGGCGGUCUCGCCGUGGCCCUCCUCUGCGCAGUAGUAAAACACUCGCAACAGGAGCCCGGCGCGGUCCACUGCCGUAAAACCCCCCAACUUUUUAUAGUUGACCUCGAAUCAGGUAGGACUACCCGCUGAACUUAAGCAUAUCAAUAAGCGGAGGA
This 358-nucleotide unclassified non-coding RNA is filed under the name soil metagenome. RNAcentral describes it as "partial contains 5.8S ribosomal RNA, internal transcribed spacer 2, and large subunit ribosomal RNA". The stretch from base 1 to 120 matches the Rfam family "5.8S ribosomal RNA", at positions 35 to 154 of the family's 154-position model. The record is from RNAcentral.